CCCAAUAUUAAGCCUAACUCACCCAAAUGAAAAACACACCCUACUAAAUAUUAAUAAAACAUUUUACCAGUUUAGUAAAGGCGAUUAAAAGACUUUCUAGCGCUUUACCAACAGUACCGCAAGGGAAAAAUGAAAUAGUUUUGAAAUAGCCCACAAGCAAAACACAGCAGAGUUUACCCCUCGUACCUUUUGCAUCAUGGUUUAGCUAGUCCUUUUCAAGCGAAGUGAAACAUCAGUUUGACCCCCCGAAACUAAGCGAGCUACUUCAAGACAGCUCAAUGGAGCCAACCCGUCUCUGUCGCAAAAGAGUGGGAUGAUUUUCAAGUAGAGGUGAAAAGCCUACCGAGCUUAGAGAUAGCUGGUUAUUCAAGAAAAGAAUUUUAGUUCUACCUUAAGUUCCCUUAUUAAUUCUAUAAGCCACUUAAACUUAAGAGCUAUUCAAAUAAGGCACAGCUUAUUUGAAAAAGGAUACAACCUACAAAAAAGGGUAAAGACUUACUUACGUGAGAUAAGUGGGCCUAAAAGCAGCCACCUUCAAAAAAGCGUUAAAGCUUUCCUCACAAAACACUAUAAUACCUAAAAAUAUCUUAAACCCAUUAUCUCUAUUGAAUGAGUCUAUACAGUUAUAGAAGCCCCAAUGCUAAAACUAGUAACAAGAAAUUGACUUUCUCCAAAGUAUAAACAUAAGCCAAAGUGGACAAACCAUUGGUCGUCAACGUCUAUGAAUUCGUAUAGCAACUAUACCAGAAAACCCUAUUAAUCUUAACGUUAACCUUACACAAGCAUACUUCCGGAAAGAUUAAAAGAAAGGGAAGGAACUCGGCAAAUCAUAACCCCGCCUGUUUACCAAAAACAUCGCCUCUUGACAAACUAUAAGAGGUCCAGCCUGCCCAGUGAUCUAAUUAAACGGCCGCGGUACCCUGACCGUGCAAAGGUAGCAUAAUCACUUGUUCCCUAAAUAGGGACUCGUAUCAACGGCAUCACGAGGGUUAUACUGUCUCCCCUUUUUAAUCAGUGAAACUGACUUCCCCGUGAAGAGGCGGGGAUACUUAUACAAGACGAGAAGACCCCAUGGAGCUUUAAACCCAAUAGCAAUCUCCAUCAACUUACCUUAAAAAUAAGGGGACCCUGUAUAUUGGUUUUGGGUUGGGGUGACCACGGAGAAAAACUAAACCUCCACGACGAAAGGACCUUAAUCCUAAUCUAAGAGCCACUACUCUAAGAAUCACUAACCUGACAUAAUCUGAUCCGGCAACCGAUCAACGAACCAAGUUACCCUGGGGAUAACAGCGCAAUCCAUUUCAAGAGCCCCUAUCGACAAAUGGGUUUACGACCUCGAUGUUGGAUCAGGGUAUCCCAGUGGUGCAGCCGCUACUAAAGGUUUGUUUGUUCAACAAUUAAAAC
RNAcentral lists this ribosomal RNA (1404 nucleotides) under Limnonectes namiyei (Okinawa wart frog). RNAcentral's name for it is "partial 16S rRNA". It matches the Rfam family "Bacterial large subunit ribosomal RNA", at positions 371 to 2594 of the family's 2925-position model. Lineage: Eukaryota; Metazoa; Chordata; Amphibia; Anura; Dicroglossidae. The record is from RNAcentral.